CUUCAUUUUGAAGUUCGGGCAAAUCAAAGACACCAAUUAAAACGCAUGUCGCUAAACUAAAGAAAUGAUGAUUCAAUGGUGUCAUAGGCGUAGAAGACGAAGAAAGAAUCGUUGCCAUUUUCAUGGCAGGAACAAGUACAGUAGACGGUCUAGCAUUGAUGCACAACUCCAAUAAAACCUUCACAUGGGUAACCGCCAAUGUCAAUAAAUUCAUCUGUCCCCAAACGACAUCAACACUUUGACGAAAAGCAUCAAUCUCAGAGCGAAGCUGUUGAGUAACGAUUGGACUUUGUCGAUCGGUAGGAUCUGGUGACUGGAAAACAUCAGAAAUGUGUCCCACUAUCAAUGAUAAGCGUACAAGUUGACUAGGGAAAGUGCCUAAAAGUUUUUGAUCUUGUAUGGUCAGAUUUAUGAAUGUCUCAGGAAGGAAUAGAGGAGAACAUGUAGACAUUGAAUGCCAUCUAUCUAAAACAACCAGCACCCACCACGCGCGGCGACAUAACGCUUCGUCACUGUCCAUGUCUUCAUUAAUUGACUGCAAAGAUAAAUGCGAUUGAAUAUGAAGUCUCAUGUUACAGGCUAAUCCAAUAGCAGCGCCUAGCCACAUUCCCUGUGGUAAUCCAUUUCGACCAGUAAUAGUAGUAGGUCCACGCUGAUCACUUUCAAUAGCAAGUAAAAUCAUA
Molecule: non-coding RNA, 683 nt
Organism: Schizosaccharomyces pombe (fission yeast)
Lineage: Eukaryota; Fungi; Ascomycota; Schizosaccharomycetes; Schizosaccharomycetales; Schizosaccharomycetaceae
Source: the annotation of a GenBank genome assembly